Molecule: ribosomal RNA, 1392 nt
Filed under: Escherichia coli
Lineage: Bacteria; Pseudomonadati; Pseudomonadota; Gammaproteobacteria; Enterobacterales; Enterobacteriaceae
Description: partial 23S ribosomal RNA
Rfam family: Bacterial large subunit ribosomal RNA
Source: RNAcentral
AAGGCGCGCGAUACAGGGUGACAGCCCCGUACACAAAAAUGCACAUAUUGUGAGCUCGAUGAGUAGGGCGGGACACGUGGUAUCCUGUCUGAAUAUGGGGGGACCAUCCUCCAAGGCUAAAUACUCCUGACUGACCGAUAGUGAACCAGUACCGUGAGGGAAAGGCGAAAAGAACCCCGGCGAGGGGAGUGAAAAAGAACCUGAAACCGUGUACGUACAAGCAGUGGGAGCACGCUUAGGCGUGUGACUGCGUACCUUUUGUAUAAUGGGUCAGCGACUUAUAUUCUGUAGCAAGGUUAACCGAAUAGGGGAGCCGAAGGGAAACCGAGUCUUAACUGGGCGUUAAGUUGCAGGGUAUAGACCCGAAACCCGGUGAUCUAGCCAUGGGCAGGUUGAAGGUUGGGUAACACUAACUGGAGGACCGAACCGACUAAUGUUGAAAAAUUAGCGGAUGACUUGUGGCUGGGGGUGAAAGGCCAAUCAAACCGGGAGAUAGCUGGUUCUCCCCGAAAGCUAUUUAGGUAGCGCCUCGUGAAUUCAUCUCCGGGGGUAGAGCACUGUUUCGGCAAGGGGGUCAUCCCGACUUACCAACCCGAUGCAAACUGCGAAUACCGGAGAAUGUUAUCACGGGAGACACACGGCGGGUGCUAACGUCCGUCGUGAAGAGGGAAACAACCCAGACCGCCAGCUAAGGUCCCAAAGUCAUGGUUAAGUGGGAAACGAUGUGGGAAGGCCCAGACAGCCAGGAUGUUGGCUUAGAAGCAGCCAUCAUUUAAAGAAAGCGUAAUAGCUCACUGGUCGAGUCGGCCUGCGCGGAAGAUGUAACGGGGCUAAACCAUGCACCGAAGCUGCGGCAGCGACGCUUAUGCGUUGUUGGGUAGGGGAGCGUUCUGUAAGCCUGUGAAGGUGUGCUGUGAGGCAUGCUGGAGGUAUCAGAAGUGCGAAUGCUGACAUAAGUAACGAUAAAGCGGGUGAAAAGCCCGCUCGCCGGAAGACCAAGGGUUCCUGUCCAACGUUAAUCGGGGCAGGGUGAGUCGACCCCUAAGGCGAGGCCGAAAGGCGUAGUCGAUGGGAAACAGGUUAAUAUUCCUGUACUUGGUGUUACUGCGAAGGGGGGACGGAGAAGGCUAUGUUGGCCGGGCGACGGUUGUCCCGGUUUAAGCGUGUAGGCUGGUUUUCCAGGCAAAUCCGGAAAAUCAAGGCUGAGGCGUGAUGACGAGGCACUACGGUGCUGAAGCAACAAAUGCCCUGCUUCCAGGAAAAGCCUCUAAGCAUCAGGUAACAUCAAAUCGUACCCCAAACCGACACAGGUGGUCAGGUAGAGAAUACCAAGGCGCUUGAGAGAACUCGGGUGAAGGAACUAGGCAAAAUGGUGCCGUAACUUCGGGAGAA